AAUAUCUUAAAAGGUUAUUUUGUGACCCAGAAAGGGUAGUCUGGGGAAAAGGAGGAUCGCAUUUGUCGGCUAUGUUUGUCAGAGGAGCGCGGCUAAAAAACUUAUUACUUUUUCUGGGUCACAAAAUAAACUUUUAAGAUAUUUUCAGGCGAGAAUGUAGCUGUGUAAAUUUCAAAUAUCUGCUCGAUUUAUCAAGACAUCACAUAUUUGCAAAAAUGCUCGGACGUUUUCAGAGACGUCCAUUUUUUUCAUGCUUUGUGGCAGCUUUUGAACAUCUGUGGCAUCUAUAAAUGUCAAAUCUAGCCUUUAUUUAACAACAUAAGCAAACUCUAUGUUACGAUGAUUGCACAGUCAUUAAGGAUCAAAUCAAUGUUCUGUUUUUUCUCCCUCUGCUUGCUUCUUACUGUCUUUGAGGCCGAUCGGGACCAACACUCCUGUUGUUGGACAGAAAGACAUCAACUCAGUGACUUGAGAUAUGACUGCACUAUGCUGUUGCUGUGACUCCAGUUAAUUCUACAAGACAUGCUGUGACACCAGGAGAGAUGAGUCCUCCGUCACAGAUGGUGUGGUCAGUGAAGAUGGUCGCCUGCAAGUUCAAGCUCAUUGCAUCUCCAACCCACA
This is a long non-coding RNA of Pelmatolapia mariae (spotted tilapia), 621 nucleotides long. RefSeq lists it as uncharacterized. The record is from RefSeq and is a predicted model, not a curated record. NCBI's taxonomy places the organism in Eukaryota, Metazoa, Chordata, Actinopteri, Cichliformes, Cichlidae. The transcript has 3 exons.